Molecule: microRNA precursor, 87 nt
Filed under: Canis lupus dingo (dingo)
Lineage: Eukaryota; Metazoa; Chordata; Mammalia; Carnivora; Canidae
Description: mir-8799 microRNA precursor family
Rfam family: mir-8799 microRNA precursor family
Source: Rfam by way of RNAcentral
GGGGGGAGGCUGGAUCCUGGGCUGUGUCCCCGGCGUCCUGUGCCGGGCCUGCGCUGUUGGAUUCGCGCUCUGGCCGGGCAGCCCCCU